AAAAAUAAGAUAAUAUUCCUAAGUUUAUAUAUAUAUAUAUAUAUAUAUAUAUAUAUAUAUAUAUAAUAGCAAUAUGGUGAAAGAUAUACAAUAAUAUUUUUUUUUACGAAAUUAUUGACCGUCCCUAGAGCAAGUGGCAAAGGGUUUGGUAGUUGGUAUCCGAGAUCCAAGUUCGAAUUAUAGUUGAUUCACAUUUCCAGUUAAGUUUAUUUCUAAAUGAAAUAAACGAAACGGGUAGUGUGCUAUCCAUCUCUCUCGAAAAAAACGAAAUUCAUGGUGUUUUAGGAGGACACCUCCUAGUACACCUCCUUUAUUAUAUACUAGUAUAGUUACCCGCGCGAUGCUGCAGGCAGAUAUUAUCGAAAUAUUAGAUUUUUAAUUCAAUCCAACUCAUUUUAAAUAGAAACUAUCAAAUAAUUACAAAAAAUACUGUAAAAUAGAUUAAAAUUAGAUUAAAAAAAAUAGAAAAUAAGAAGAGAGAAAAAAAUAAAAAAUAGAGAAACUCUCACUUAAUGUUGGUCUCUAAGAGAGCGAGGCUUGCCACUGCUUUCACUGCCGCCUCGAUCUCCACUGUCAUUGUCCGUGCUUUCUUCCGCAGCCGUCUUGGUCUCCACUGCCAUGACAUUUACCGUCUCUGCCAACGCUAUGACCUGAAGUAUCUCCCACACCUCAUACUAAAUGAGAAGAGGAUAAUAUAUCAAAAUUAGGAAUUUAAAAAAAAAGAAAAAAAAUAAAUGGAUUUAAUACAUCUUGCUAAAUGAAGAAGGUUGUAAUUUAUUAAAAGAAACAAAAUAGGCUUUCAUUUUCAUGACAUGCAUAAGAGAGAAUAGAGCUUUUGCAUUAGUUUUUAUGAUUUACGAUAAUAUUAGGGUUAAAAUGAGUGAACACAUUAAUUAGACGUUAUAUGCGGAAGGAAGGCAAAGAGUUAGGCCUUUUGGAUGGGUUUCUAAGUUUACGGUUUAGAUAUGAUUAAAUUGAGUUGACGCAUUAACUAAACGUUAUAUGUAAAGGGAAGGCAAAGGGUUGGUUUAAUAAUGUAAAAGUUCAAGAGUAAAGAAAAUACAAAGCAUUUUUUUUUAGGAUUAAUGUCACUAUUACUUAGUGGUUCAAUGAAUCUACAUUGAUUAGCAAUAAAAUUAAUACCAAGUGCGUUAUUUUGUUAAUUUGAUAUUUAGAUAGAGAAAGGGGUUUCAUUUAUUUAUUUAUGAGGAUGAAGGGUAGCUUGCCACGUGGCAAGAAAUAUUGUGCUUUCAUUUAGAUUUAUAGAUUCUUAUUAGAUACAGUAGUAAUGAAAAUAAAGAAAAGAGAAAAAUUGGAAUU
This 1320-nucleotide long non-coding RNA is filed under the name Ananas comosus (pineapple). RNAcentral describes it as "long non-coding RNA (ACOM_LNC007422)". Lineage: Eukaryota; Viridiplantae; Streptophyta; Magnoliopsida; Poales; Bromeliaceae. The record is from RNAcentral.